ACUAAUUUAUUUUCCAGAUUUUCUUAAUCUUAAAGAUAUUAUUUAUUGUACAUACUUUUCCGGCCACCACCCUUCCCGGAGCAUUUUCCGGCGAAGUCAAAACCACCCCCCAAAUCCCAUUUCGUUUUCCCCAUUUUUUCCAGAGACCCUCCUCCCUUCCUCCACCUAGAAAACACCAUAGCAGUCAACCAUCACCUAUUUCUGGCCAAAUCUUUGCCAGACCCACCACAAGAAGACCCCAGUCCCUCUUAUUUCAUGUUGUCACCAGCAACCAAACUAACCCAUCAUCCCAUUUCCUCCUUCUACAGCGAAUAAGAGCCAGAAACUCCAAAACUCCAUCCCCGUGUUUCCCCUUUGAUCGCUACAACAAAGUAGCUCUUGUGAGGAGCUUCAAGCUCCGAUGAACUAAAGCAAAAUAAGAGCUAAAUGGAAUGGUCCCUUCCCCUUUUUCUCUUUACGGUUUUGAUUCAUUUUGUAGGUAUUCCGUCCAACUCUUUCACUUUUUUUUCGGCGUGGGUACAUCACCGGCGAAUAAUAAAGUUGCUGCUCAAAGCUCCGGUUAGAAAUGAAUUCAGAUCUGUCCGGAAAUGGAUACGUAGGCUCUAUCAAGGCUCGGUCAUCUUCCCCGUAAGCAUUCCAAAUUUUUAAUACAGAAACUGGGGCAAAAUUUUUGCGAAAGUCUUCAAAAAAUUUACAAUGGAGAAAGUUGUUAAACACCAGAGGUUUGUUGAAGCUGAAACAGGGGCAAAAUUUUUAAGGAAUGCCCAUAAAAAUUCCAUCAAGGUUGUACACAGACUCCAUAAUUUAUUAAGCUUCACUCUCAGUUAGUUCAUAUAUUUUGCUUUAAUUUUUUUAUAUGAUGAUAUUCAUUGUAUAACUUUGAUUUUUAUUUAUCCAGCAUUUCAUUACAAAAGAUGGUUUUAUUUGAAAUUUUUUAAGUUGGGUUGUCUA
Long non-coding RNA from Solanum lycopersicum (tomato), 951 nucleotides. RefSeq lists it as uncharacterized. The record is from RefSeq and is a predicted model, not a curated record. Lineage: Eukaryota; Viridiplantae; Streptophyta; Magnoliopsida; Solanales; Solanaceae.